This 400-nucleotide ribosomal RNA is filed under the name uncultured bacterium. RNAcentral describes it as "bacterial SSU rRNA". It matches the Rfam family "Bacterial small subunit ribosomal RNA", at positions 355 to 771 of the family's 1533-position model. The record is from RNAcentral.
UGGGGAAUAUUGCACAAUGGGCGAAAGCCUGAUGCAGCGACGUCGCGUGAGGGAGGAAGUCUUUCGGGAUGUAAACCUCUGUCCUAUGAGAAGAAUAAUGACGGUAUCAUAGGAGGAAGCCAUGGCUAACUACGUGCCAGCAGCCGCGGUAAUACGUAGAUGGCAAGCGUUAUCCGGAAUGACUGGGCGUAAAGGGUGCGUAGGCGGUUUGUUAAGUCAGAUGUGAAAACCCACAGCUUAACUGUGGGCAUGCAUUUGAAACUGGCGAACUUGAGUGCAGGAGAGGAAAGUGGAAUUCCUAGUGUAGCGGUGAAAUGCGUAGAUAUUAGGAGGAACACCAGUGGCGAAGGCGACUUUCUGGACUGUAACUGACGCUGAGGCACGAAAGCGUGGGGAGCGA